RNAcentral lists this ribosomal RNA (369 nucleotides) under Heleobia sp. UCH Tilomonte1-4. RNAcentral describes it as "partial 12S small subunit ribosomal RNA". Lineage: Eukaryota; Metazoa; Mollusca; Gastropoda; Littorinimorpha; Cochliopidae. The record is from RNAcentral.
UCUUAAAAAUAAAUUGAUUUAUUCUACUAGGGAACUACAAAUAAAUACAUUUAAAACCCAAAGAGCUUGGCGGUGUUUUAGACCUCUUAGGGGAGCUUGUUUCAUAAUCGACAAUCCACGAUAAACCUAACUUUUCCUUGCAAAUAUCAGUAUGUAUACCGUUGUCGUAAGAUAACUUUUAAAAAUUAAGAAGUUAACAAAGAAAAAAUAAAUUUAGACGUCAAAUCAAGGCAUAGCUAAUGGAAAAGAGAGAAUGAGCUACAAUUAAUAUUUAUAAUACAGAUUAAUUUAAGAAAUAAAAUUAUAAAGGCGGACUUAAAAGUAAAGAAAUAAUUAGAAAAAUUUCUAGAAUCUGGCUCUGAAACGUGC